RNAcentral lists this small RNA (4044 nucleotides) under Rattus norvegicus (Norway rat). RNAcentral's name for it is "uncharacterized LOC102550910". The record is from RNAcentral. Lineage: Eukaryota; Metazoa; Chordata; Mammalia; Rodentia; Muridae.
CCUGGAAUCUAUGAGGGCGAUCCUAGUUACGACUCCUAGUUAUGGAGACCAUGGAGUCUGGCAAUCUUUUGUAGCAAGGAAAAGGUUCCAGCGUUGGGACUGGGUUACAUUCAGUUGAGUUGUUAGCACAAUGGGUCCUGUAAAGACUCCUGAAUAACCCAAGCUGAUGUUGGGACAGAAGGGUGCUCUGAAAACAGCCGGUUCUUUUCUAAUGAGACACAAAAAGAGAGCGGAUCUGGGUAGGAGGCGAGGUGGGUAAGCACUGGAAGAGAAACCAUAAUCAGAUUAUGUGAAAAAAGAAUUAUGUUUAAUUAAAGGUAGGUUCUAAAGCAAAAUCAAAAAGGGAAUGGGAACCGAAAGCCAUGUCCAUGCGCGGGGUCACCCCAAAGCGGCGCUGGUGGCCUAUACAUUAACAGGGCUGGAAACCGGAAAUGCGGCAGCGGUAGGGGUGGGAGUAAGAGUCUGAGACCGGCACACUAAGCUUCUAAAAACUUUAAACUCUUACAAAAACUGUCCAGUUUAAUACCAGAUGCCCUGCAUGCUUAUGAUGAAUUUCAUCUAAUUCCGUGGGGAAUCCAGAAGCGCAAACCAAAUGACACGAUAAACGGACUAACGCGCUCAGACCUGGAGACCUUUUACUGGGGCGGACACACCAGCUGGCGAAAUCAAGUUCCAUAAUGAAGAGGCUCCAUCUUGAUGAAGGAAGCAACCACCUUGCAGAAGGAAUUGUCUCUGGCUGCUAAGAGCUACAGGUGGAGAAUCCAGAUAUCUCAGUCUUGCAUCUACAGGGACAUCCAUUUUCCCAACCAUCUGAGAGACUUUGGAAGUGGAUUUCCCUCCUGUCAACAGCCCAGGCUAAAAGCAAAUGAAAGCGUCCUAUUUCAAAGAUCUCCCAUCUACUGGCAUCGCACACCCCGUCCUAGUCAGACGCUGUGAGAAGUAUUCUUGGAGUGUUAUCAACUACAAAUUCUGAAACAAGUAUGGCUGUUUGCACAGGAUUUCAUGCUGAAUAAUAUAGUAACAUCUAGAAAUUCCUAACCUAGAGGGAGGGGGUUGGGGGGGAGAACAUUUUUAAAGAUAUUUUAAAAACUGUGGCAUGCGCGCAGGGACUUCUCAAACAGAACCCUCGGAUUCAUUUUAAGCUUUUUCACUUGCUCAGAACUAUUAUUUUGAAAGAUGGAGCCCAAAACAUGGAUCUUGUAAAGCUUCACAGAACAAAAAUAUUCCUAUGAAUUGUAUCUCUCAAUCAGAAGCCAGAACGAGGGGAUGUGUAAUUAGCAAAGAAAGGGUAAAACCAAUGCUUAAAAUCAAUACUUAAACCAGAGAGGAACCCUACAAGGCAUCUAGAGGAGCAUAGGAACAAUGGUACUGACCAGCUUACCUUGCUUUCUUCCGUUAACUUUUUCUAAAGAGCCGGGAAGCUGGGUGUCAGAGCCAUGCUGAAGGUCACAUCUCUGCCCCUCAGAGUGAUGUUCCUCCUCAGCGAUAGAAGAAAGCACAUGUGGGGGCUUUGGGCCACCUGGGAUCUUAUUGGGCCACUGGGAAAUUACAGUGCUUGAGUCUUUGGCUUGCUGACCAAGUCUGAGGCUUGCCGUCUGGACAGAGUCCCGCAAAUCACUAUUAGAGCUUGAGAAAUGGUCCUCUUCAAGAAACAGGGAGCCUGUCUCCUCUGGACCCCCAUCGUUGUCCUGUUCUCCAUCUUCCAAGCAGGUUUCCUGAAUCUGAAUAGCAUCUAAGUCCUGCUCUGGCUUAUCACUCAGUGCCGAAUCGUGUUUGCUAAGAAGAACCAGUGAAGCAGAUAAGGCAUCCCCGGCUUGCUGGAGAGCUUCAUAAACUCGGGAGAGCCAGGAGGACAAAGGUUGGAAGAAGUUCUGGACAUCUUGAGAUGCCAUGACCAACACCAUGACCAACUACCUCGUGUCUCCAGAGUCUGCUUGUUUGGUUCCUCCAGAACUCUGAACGUACGUGAAAUAUAGCAUGAGCAUAAGGAGAAAUUUAACUGGAGGUCUCUGUUUUUUUUUAUAACAGGCAAAACUUUAUUAAUGUACACAUAAAGAAAACAUGUGCAGUACGUAAGCACCGUUGGCAGUAAGUAAAACCAGGCAGCAUGCUGGUUCUUGCACCAAGGUCUAUGGAGUAGGUCUUUGCAGGGAACAGAGCAACUGUGUUUGAUAGGGUGGUGGUCUCUUAGUGGCUGUGACCAUUUCACUCUCAACACGUCUCAGCUGAAACAGAGGAGAGACAUGCUCACACCUGUUAAAGUCACACUGUGGACCCAUCACCAGAUACCUGUAGUCAAUAUCAAGCAGCAUUUGGGGGACAGAGAAAGAUUAUACUGAACUCUCAUGAUGGCUAAAUAAAAUGACCUUGAACAUCUAAAUGUGGGUUCUACCCACGAUUGUACACCUCCUCACACUCACGCCCAACUUCUAUUGCAACAACAGAUUCUAGUCAUGUGGACUGGAAGAAGUCGCUCCCCAUAGACCAGUUUAACAAUGUGAGAAGAGUAAAGGAAUCUGUGGGAACAGCCAGUUAGGCAUGACACUUCAAAAUGCAAGAAAAACCGGAGGUUUCGUGCACAAACAUGCAGACCCCAGAGAGCUAACGAACAGGCAUCUCUGUUUUGAGACACAAAGGUUUAUCCUCUCAAAGGAAAUAUGUGUCUGGAAUUUCAACGCUUCCAACAAAUCUUAAAAAUAGAGUUUUACAGUUUUAGGCAAUCUCUAGAAAUGGUGUCUAUUCUUGGGGAGAAAUCGUACUGAAUAUGUGUGCAUGGCAAAUGGAUCAUGCAGCUUCCUUAGCGUCUUCUGCCUUUGUCUGUGUCCCCAUCUCCUGAAGUUGGCCCUCUGUAACCUGCAUGUCUUCUCAAACGUACCGUAAGAUCAGAGUCUGAAAGGAGUAGCUUGGGGACACCCAUAAAACAGCAGGGCACGGUGAUGAUCAAAGGGACUGUGCCUAUAUUUGUACACUCAUGUGCAAACGCAAGCCUGGGCAGAUUUACAUCUAUACAUGGAUAUAGGUAAUCCCAUUGCUAUCCCAGUGAAGGAUAAAUGCUAUCAGUUGCUUCUAUGAUAACAACAUCCCCCCCUCUGAAUCACUCCAUUCCUGAAGCUUCAAGCCUCUUGAUCUUAGCCUUUAGUACAACUGCUUAAUUUCCCUUAAAAGUUUCUCGUUAGUGAUUCAUAGGUGCCUUGAUUCAUUCAGUAAACAAAUAACAAAUACUGACCAAGCACCUAUUAAGUACUGGGCAGAAUGCCAGGAAAAAGGUAACCCUGAGGCCUCUGUCCUAUGGAACUUGCAUUUCAGCUAAGGAGGAACUGGGCUUUCUGCAUUUUCCUCUUGAACGGAAUAAUUCAUGUAUCACUGUAUAGCACUUGACCUCCUCUCACAGUGUAUGUGCAACCACUCAGUGUUCCAUGCUUCUUGUCAUUCCCAUUUAUACUCACCUGCUGGGAAGGCUGGCCCAUCACUACCUUUGUCUCUUUGGUUGGUUUUGGUUUCUUUGGAUUGAUUACUUGGUAUAUUGGGUGGUUGGUUGGUUGGUUGGUUGGUUUGAGAUGGUCUCACAGAUCGUGAGCUGAUCUUCAACUUGCAAAACAGCCAAAGAUGACCUUGAACUUAUCCUUAUGCCUUUAUAGCCUGAGUGCUAGGAAUACAGACAUGUACCACUGCAGCUUGUCUAUACGGUGCUGGGGACCAAACUCAGGGGCCUUCUGCAUUCCAGGAAGCAUGGCUGAUGAAGUACACCCCAGCUUCAACUCUGUUUUAAUUUUAAACUUUUAUAAACCCGAAAUACAUAUCAUCAGUGCUUAGCUUGCUCUUUUCUUACUCCUCUCACAGAUUCAAGUCAGUGCCGUGCAAACUUUGGUAGUUCUGACUCAUCAAUAAAAUAGCAGAACAUGGAAAGGUCUAAGUUGGCUGCAAAAAUAAGCCUGGCUUAGCCCCCUGUGUUUCUGUUAUCUUCCCAGAAAGCCAAACCCUACUAAAGGUCGAUUUUAAAAAACAAAAAGCAACAACAACAAUAAAAGUGAUGUAAGCAAAUAA